AUGGCGCUAACGUACGUCUGUUCCACGGGCAGGCCGUCGAAGACGGCCUUGUGCUGCUGGGUUCUACUCCUCCAGCCGGAGCCCAAAAGAACAAAGAACAGGGGCUCGUGGGGAAGUGAAGAGGAGGAACAGGAACAUGGGGAAGUGAAGAGAAGAGGAGAGAAGCAGGAACAUGCUUGGCUUUGGCGCCAUGGAUGGAAGAAGAACGACGCCGAGGCCGAGGCUAACGUCAACAACGGCCGAGGCCAAGAGUCCGUAGCCACACCACUACAGCUCCACACGGGUGCGAUGGAACCAGCCAACAACUCAAUGAGCAGGAGCAGCGCGGUUGCUGCGCAAUCGGAAGAUGUGUGGGUUGGCUGCAGCGGUAGCAGCAGAUGGGCGAACGUUAUGCGAUCCUCCUAUGGAGGACCAAUACAAGAUGUGUAUAGUGCACGACAUACCGCCACAUCUUCAUUGAUAAGCCCCUGGGCCUCGGCCCAGCUCAGCCAGCUGGCCCACCUAGCCCCCACUGGUCGCCUACUCCCCCUGUUCCCCUGGCGCGGUCGCAACAGGAGCGACGCCCCGCCGAACCACCUCGCCGGCGUCGGUGAGGGGAUAAGGCAGGCGCCCUCCUUGUGUUGGUUCAACCACAGUUAUGAAGAUCCGACGGCUGAGAUGGCGGAGCGAGAUGGACGGUCGAUGCAGCACCAAGCACUGCCUUUCUUCAGUUAUUGUCGCUGCCCUUUUACCUUUCUUUUCACCUCGCUUUCCAGCUUGGUGCUGGACUAUAAGGCGCCUGCAUGCGCAUCACUGAGAACCAUUCAAUCAUUAUGUCAUCGGUCCUCGGCGGCGCGGAGGCGGCGUGAGGAAAGGAGGCAAAUGGCGGCGGUAGACCAGUUCGGGCACAAGUCGACAGCUAGGUACGGUUGCCGGCGAGAUCCUCUCCUGGUAGUAAAAUCCCGUGACCAAGGUCGGCUCGUGUGCCUUCGGCGGCGAGGAGCGCUGGUGGCGGCAGGGAGCCGAGAUCUCGCGAGGGUUCCAAGGCUCGUCCUUGUGGUAGAAUUCCGGAGCCGGAUCUCGUUCCAUGGCGAAAUCGAAGGGCGAGGACAAGGGGAUGCCGCGGAAGUUGUAGAGAUGAAGCUGGACAUGGAGCAGCUAGACGGCAAGGUCGACGACCUCCAUACCGAGGUGGAGAGCAUGCGCACAGAGGUUACUGAUGUCAAGAAGCAGCUCACACGGCUGGAAGAAUUGAUGUUGCGGAUGGAGGAGAAGUUGGACACUUCCCCGCGUCCCAGAGUAACAACAGCAGAAGAGGCGAGACCAGGGCAGCAACAGCAGUGCCAAGUCCAACCACAACAGCAGCAACAACCGCCUCCCCAGCAGCCUGGCCAAGUUAACAGGACCCAGGCAAAUACAUCGCCUCUGUUGAACAGGGGGACACCAGUUUGGAGACGCCGAGGGCAGGAACAAGCGCUCAACUUUGGUUGGGCAGAAGAGCAGCGGCAACAAUACAUGGAUCAGCAACCAUACACACAAUAUCCCCAAGUCAAUUACGCCAUGCAAGGGCAGUAUAAUGACAAUCCUGAUUAUUCUCAAGCUCAACAGCAACAAAUAUACUACCCACCUGCAUAUCAGCAUCAGGAGUACUACCCAAAUCAGCGUCAUGUCCCACAACAUCAGUUUUACCCAAUCAUACCCCCACCACCCCCUCCUCCACACUAUUAUCCCCCUGAACAAGUCCCAUAUGAAUACCACCAUUACUAUCCACCAGAGCCACAGUACAUGCAAGCCCCCCCUCCACAAAACAGAGAGCAACACCAGUUCCAGCAAAACCCAGAGCAAGUCAGGCACUUUGACAGACACUAUGACAAUAACAGAGGUCAAGACAGAGAUGCCCACUUCUACAGAUCAAUUGCCAAAGCUCCUAGAAUAGAAUUCCCUAGAUUUGAUGGUACAAAUCCAAUGGAAUGGCUUCGGAUGACAGAGAAAUUUUUUCUAUGGUCCAUGUACCAGAAGAAGCAAAAUGGGACUAUGCCCAGAUGUAUCUCACUGUUCUGUGCAGCAGUCCUUAAACGAUUUUCUGGAGAUAGCUCUUAUGAGAUAGUGGAAAAUUUCAACUCCUUCAAACAGGGAGCUGAUUCAGUUGCUGCCUAUACUGAUAAAUUCGAGGAAAGAAUGGCUGCAUACAAAAAAGAGAAUCCUGGAGCUGCUGAAGGAUACUAUGUCAAGUGCUACAUCAAUGGGUUAAGACCUGAAAUCAAACACUACCUGGAGCCCUUUAAACCAAUUACACUGUAUGAUGCAGUAGAAAAUGCCAGGGACAUGGAAAUGGGAGUUCAAGCCCAAGCAAACCAGAAAAGAUAUACACCCAAUAGUGGGUAUGCGAAGACAAACAGCUCUGCUCAUUUUCCCAAUAAAUAUAAGCAAAAUGAGACACCACAGAGGAGGGAAGGAGAGGACAAGACAACUAAACCUGAACAGAAAUUCAGAGAGCCUGGCACUUGCAGAUAUUAUGGAGGCAAGUGGUUCUUUGGCCACAAAUGCGCACAAUAUAAGACACUUAACCUCAUGGCCACUGAAGAGCAUACUGAAGAGUCACCUGAUGAAAUGUUGCAAGGACAUGACCAAUCUGAAGACAACACCGCACCAGCAACUACUCCAACUGAAGAUGAACAAUGCAUGCACAUUUCCUCUCAAGCUGUAGGAAAAAAGAAGACUUCUGCCACAUUCUCCCUUAAAGUCAACAUUGGGGGCAAAUGUGGAAUAGCCUUGGUGGACUCAGGCAGCUCUCACACAUUCAUAGACAUGAAUUUCACAGUGAAAACUACUUGUCAUACUGUCAGCAACCCCUUGGAAAUAGUACAAGUAGCAGGAGGAGAAAAACCUGAAAUUGCACAACCUUGCAAGGAGAUAGAAGACCUCUUAACCGAGUACAAGGAUGUUUUCCAAGAUCCUAAAGGCAUGCCACCUCCUAGAGAAUGUGAUCAUGCCAUUCCGCUAAAAUUAUAUGCAGUGUGUCGGUUCAGCCACAGUUAUGAAGAUCCGACGGCUGAGAUGGCGGAGCGAGAUGGACGGUCGAUGCAACACCAAGCACUGCCUUUCUUCAGUUAUUGCGGCUGCCCUUUUACCUUUCUUUUCACCUCGCUUUCCAGCUCGGUGCUGGACUAUAAGGCGCCUGCGUGCGCAUCACUGAGAACCAUUCAAUCAUUGUAUCCCCAAACUAUCAAACCCUAG
This 3216-nucleotide ribosomal RNA is filed under the name Triticum aestivum (bread wheat). RNAcentral describes it as "partial small subunit ribosomal RNA". The record is from RNAcentral. Lineage: Eukaryota; Viridiplantae; Streptophyta; Magnoliopsida; Poales; Poaceae.